Molecule: non-coding RNA, 73 nt
Organism: Myotis davidii
Lineage: Eukaryota; Metazoa; Chordata; Mammalia; Chiroptera; Vespertilionidae
Source: Rfam
GGCUGUUCUUGAGUGACACCCCAGAAUCGGGCUCCUUCCUCUCUGGUUCCGGGUGCGUCACCCAAGAACCGCA